Ochlerotatus camptorhynchus is the source of this 1224-nucleotide long non-coding RNA. RefSeq lists it as uncharacterized. The record is from RefSeq and is a predicted model, not a curated record. Lineage: Eukaryota; Metazoa; Arthropoda; Insecta; Diptera; Culicidae. The transcript has 8 exons.
AUCUUCAUCAACGACGACCCUACCGGACUGAUGAGAUGACGAUGAUGAUAAGAUGCUGUAAAAUUUAUCCUCUCUGACGAAGGAAUCACAGCCUUUGGACAACAUUGAUGACCUAUGGACUACAUCUUCACACGUGCCAUAAUGCUACACGUGUUAGUACGGAAUCACCCAGAAGAACGACGUGGAGUCUUUUUUCCCGGACGGAUAACGCUGGCUGAAAAAACUCCCAGAUUGACGAUUGACGCAAAUUCCGUUUGAAAACCUUCUGGCCGACCUCAUAAGCUGAUGCAAACUUCUUGAACUCAUUCCAUCUUCAUCAACGACGACCCUACCGGACUGAUGAGAUGACGAUGAUGAUAAGAUGCUGUAAAAUUUAUCCUCUCUGACGAAGGAAUCACAGCCUUUGGACAACAUUGAUGACCUAUGGACUACAUCUUCACACGUGCCAUAAUGCUACACGUGUUAGUACGGAAUCACCCAGAAGAACGACGUGGAGUCUUUUUUCCCGGACGGAUAACGCUGGCUGAAAAAACUCCCAGAUUGACGAUUGACGCAAAUUCCGUUUGAAAACCUUCUGGCCGACCUCAUAAGCUGAUGCAAACUUCUUGAACUCAUUCCAUCUUCAUCAACGACGACCCUACCGGACUGAUGAGAUGACGAUGAUGAUAAGAUGCUGUAAAAUUUAUCCUCUCUGACGAAGGAAUCACAGCCUUUGGACAACAUUGAUGACCUAUGGACUACAUCUUCACACGUGCCAUAAUGCUACACGUGUUAGUACGGAAUCACCCAGAAGAACGACGUGGAGUCUUUUUUCCCGGACGGAUAACGCUGGCUGAAAAAACUCCCAGAUUGACGAUUGACGCAAAUUCCGUUUGAAAACCUUCUGGCCGACCUCAUAAGCUGAUGCAAACUUCUUGAACUCAUUCCAUCUUCAUCAACGACGACCCUACCGGACUGAUGAGAUGACGAUGAUGAUAAGAUGCUGUAAAAUUUAUCCUCUCUGACGAAGGAAUCACAGCCUUUGGACAACAUUGAUGACCUAUGGACUACAUCUUCACACGUGCCAUAAUGCUACACGUGUUAGUACGGAAUCACCCAGAAGAACGACGUGGAGUCUUUUUUCCCGGACGGAUAACGCUGGCUGAAAAAACUCCCAGAUUGACGAUUGACGCAAAUUCCGUUUGAAAACCUUCUGGCCGACCUCAUAAGCUGAUGCAAACUUCU